RNAcentral lists this transfer RNA (68 nucleotides) under Marmota monax (woodchuck). RNAcentral's name for it is "tRNA.Ala". The record is from RNAcentral. Lineage: Eukaryota; Metazoa; Chordata; Mammalia; Rodentia; Sciuridae.
GGAUACAGCUCAGUUGGUAGAGUGCUUGCCUAGCAUGCACAAAGCCCUGGGUUCAAUCCCCAGCACCA